GAUGAACGCUGGCGGCGUGCCUAAUACAUGCAAGUCGAGCGAACAGAUAAGGAGCUUGCUCCUUUGACGUUAGCGGCGGACGGGUGAGUAACACGUGGGUAACCUACCUAUAAGACUGGGAUAACUUCGGGAAACCGGAGCUAAUACCGGAUAACAUUUGGAACCGCAUGGUUCUAAAGUGAAAGAUGGUUUUGCUAUCACUUAUAGAUGGACCCGCGCCGUAUUAGCUAGUUGGUAAGGUAACGGCUUACCAAGGCGACGAUACGUAGCCGACCUGAGAGGGUGAUCGGCCACACUGGAACUGAGACACGGUCCAGACUCCUACGGGAGGCAGCAGUAGGGAAUCUUCCGCAAUGGGAGAAAGCCUGACGGAGCAACGCCGCGUGAGUGAUGAAGGGUUUCGGCUCGUAAAACUCUGUUAUUAGGGAAGAACAAACGUGUAAGUAACUGUGCACGUCUUGACGGUACCUAAUCAGAAAGCCACGGCUAACUACGUG
RNAcentral lists this ribosomal RNA (497 nucleotides) under uncultured bacterium. RNAcentral describes it as "partial 16S ribosomal RNA". It matches the Rfam family "Bacterial small subunit ribosomal RNA", at positions 28 to 507 of the family's 1533-position model. The record is from RNAcentral.